GUGCCAGCCGCCGCGGUAAUACGUAGGGUCCAAGCGUUAUCCGGAAUUACUGGGCGUAAAGAGUUGCGUAGGUGGCAUUGUAAGUUGGUAGUGAAAGCGUUCGGCUCAACCGAAUAUACAUUAUCAAAACUGCAAAGCUAGAGGAUGAGAGAGGUUAUUGGAAUUGCUAGUGUAGGAGUGAAAUCCGUAGAUAUUAGCAGGAACACCGAUGGCGUAGGCAGAUAACUGGCUCAUUCCUGACACUAAGGCACGAAAGCGUGGGGAGCGAACGGGAUUAGAUACCCUCGUAGUCC
Molecule: ribosomal RNA, 293 nt
Filed under: uncultured bacterium
Lineage: Bacteria
Description: partial 16S ribosomal RNA
Rfam family: Bacterial small subunit ribosomal RNA
Source: RNAcentral